Molecule: ribosomal RNA, 447 nt
Filed under: uncultured bacterium
Lineage: Bacteria
Description: partial 16S ribosomal RNA
Rfam family: Bacterial small subunit ribosomal RNA
Source: RNAcentral
AACGAACGCUGGCGGCAGGCCUAACACAUGCAAGUCGAACGCCCCGCAAGGGGAGUGGCAGACGGGUGAGUAACGCGUGGGAAUCUACCCAGUGGUACGGAACAACCAAGGGAAACUUUGGCUAAUACCGUAUACGUCCUUCGGGAGAAAGAUUUAUCGCCAUUGGAUGAGCCCGCGUCGGAUUAGGUAGUUGGUGAGGUAACGGCUCACCAAGCCUACGAUCCGUAGCUGGUCUGAGAGGAUGAUCAGCCACAUUGGGACUGAGACACGGCCCAAACGCCUACGGGAGGCAGCAGUGGGGAAUAUUGGACAAUGGGCGCAAGCCUGAUCCAGCCAUGCCGCGUGAGUGAUGACGGCCCUAGGGUUGUAAAGCUCUUUCGGCGGGGAAGAUAAUGACUGUACCCGCAGAAGAAGCCCCGGCUAACUUCGUGCCAGCCGCCGCGGUAA